This is a non-coding RNA of Schizosaccharomyces pombe (fission yeast), 211 nucleotides long. NCBI's taxonomy places the organism in Eukaryota, Fungi, Ascomycota, Schizosaccharomycetes, Schizosaccharomycetales, Schizosaccharomycetaceae. The record is from the annotation of a GenBank genome assembly.
AAGAUGUAGAAAUAUAUGGUAAUUCGUAAAUAUAAGAAAGCAGAGUGCAUGACUAAAUAGAAGAUCGAUGUUGGUCACUUCAGUGCUUUCCUUUAAAUACGUUUGCAUUUUCGAGACAAUAAAAUUGAAACACCCGAGCAUUUUGAGUCUCAGCUUACAACUGUUAUAAAUUAUUAAGAAAGGAAUCCAAGGUUUUGCAGAAUUUCCAUAU